This 391-nucleotide ribosomal RNA is filed under the name Listeria seeligeri. RNAcentral's name for it is "bacterial SSU rRNA". It matches the Rfam family "Bacterial small subunit ribosomal RNA", at positions 1 to 377 of the family's 1533-position model. Lineage: Bacteria; Bacillati; Bacillota; Bacilli; Caryophanales; Listeriaceae. The record is from RNAcentral.
UAUUUUAAAGAGAGUUUGAUCCUGGCUCAGGACGAACGCUGGCGGCGUGCCUAAUACAUGCAAGUCGAACGAACGGAGGAAGAGCUUGCUCUUCCAAAGUUAGUGGCGGACGGGUGAGUAACACGUGGGCAACCUGCCUGUAAGUUGGGGAUAACUCCGGGAAACCGGGGCUAAUACCGAAUGAUAAGGAGUGACGCAUGUCACUGCUUUGAAAGAUGGUUUCGGCUAUCGCUUACAGAUGGGCCCGCGGUGCAUUAGCUAGUUGGUAGGGUAAAGGCCUACCAAGGCAACGAUGCAUAGCCGACCUGAGAGGGUGAUCGGCCACACUGGGACUGAGACACGGCCCAGACUCCUACGGGAGGCAGCAGUAGGGAAUCUUCCGCAAUGGACG